Long non-coding RNA from Oncorhynchus mykiss (rainbow trout), 3401 nucleotides. RefSeq lists it as uncharacterized. Lineage: Eukaryota; Metazoa; Chordata; Actinopteri; Salmoniformes; Salmonidae. The record is from RefSeq and is a predicted model, not a curated record.
UCUAGUCUAAAUAUAAUUUAUAUGAACAAGAAUAAGGUUGCUGCAGUUUGACAGAGGACUGACAUGAGCAUGAUGCUGCCUAUAAAAUGCCUAUUUUGUGUGAAUAUAGGUGUUGUGUAGGAACUAGAAUAUUUCAGUGAUAUUUCUGCUGUGUGCAGUCUUGACGGAUCCAAUGGGAUGAUGUGCCUUCGCUGAUAAAUGUAUUAUUUGCCAUGUUAGGCUGUAGCCCUAUUCGGACCGGUAUUACUAGAGACGUUGGUUUUGUCAUUAUUAUCCAAGCUAUUAUUCAAGCAUGUGCGUUAUUCCAGGGGACGAUUCACACACGAUUCGUAAUUCUUAUUUUUUUAUUAUUAAUUUAAUUGACUCUUAUGACGGACUUUAUUGCAUCCGUGAAGAUAUGUCAACGUCAUUUCUAGACGAUAAUAGGCUACACACUGACAACUCGCGCUUGGCUGCCAAAUGUAUAGGUCUCCAUUAUACUUAAAUUGAUUAAGUGUGAUCAUAAUUAUUUUAGCUAUCCAUCCAUGGUAUACGUCCUUCCUGAUAGCAAUGCCCUACAUCCUGAUGAUUUGAGCUGCUGAACAGUGGCGGUUCAAGACCAUUUCAACUGGGAGGGCCAAGCUGGGGUCAGUUGUACUGUUACGGGGCCAGUUACAUUAGACGUUAUUGUUGUCAUUGUUUUCUUCACUGGUAUUUCUUUAAAAUACCAUGUUCAUAAUCAUCAUCGUUGCCACUGUCUAAUAAUGGAUGUAAAAUAAAACGAUAAGAAACAGUUUGACAAUCAUUAAAAUGAUUUCAUACUCCACAUUUAGGGGGUCCAAAAUUGUUGUCACAUGGGCACUGGGGUUGGUGCGAAAACAUACAGGAAGGUGCUCUCCAGGAACAGGGUUGGAGAACCCUGACCUAGGUCAACAGCCAGCCAGGGUUUCAUUAAAUAAACUAUAGGCAAUACUUUUUUAUUGCGAAAAACAGCAUUGCGAUAGCCUAUAGCCUACAUCUUCUGAUUACCGAUACACGGUUCUGUUGUGCUGCCUGGUGGCCGACAUGCCUACCUAUGCCCCUCUAUCUCUCUUUCUUUGCUGUGAAAUAUGUUUGUUCUCGAAAUAGACCACGGAGAAAAGUUUCCUCCGUUGCAAAAAUACAGAAAUGUAGGAGUAGAUCGAAGCUUGACAUCCAGUAAUGGGAGUCGACGGACUCCACACCAUAUAGCAGACUGACCAGGUGAAAGCUGUGAUCCCUUUGAACGGGGUAUGGUAGUAGGUGCCAGGUGCACCGGUUUGUGUCAAGAACUGCAUCACUGCUGGGUUUUUCCACACUCAACAGUUUCCCGUGUGUAUCAAGAAUGGUCACCACCCAAAGGACAUCAAGCCAAUUUGACAACUGUGGGAAGCAUUGGAGUCAACAUGGGCCCGCAUCCCUGUGGGACUCUUUUGACACCUUGUAGAGCAUGCCCUGACAAAUUCAGGCUGUUCUGAGGGCAAAAGGAGGGCAUAAAACUCAAUAUUAGAAAGGUGUUCCUAAUGUGUGGUAUAUAUAAAACACAAGCAAAUCACAUUGACAACACCGGACCUUUAAAGGGUACCUUAGUGAAGUGUUAUCAUGCAUGGGAUGGCGGACUAACUAUGCCCAUGUCAAGGUAUUCCAAUAAACAGUUACACAAUGAUAAACGACACCAUGGUGUUGUCCCAAACCUUUAUUGCAGCCCUCGAACAGAACAUUUACAGCACGUGUCAAACUCAUUCCACGGAGGGCUGAGUGUCUGCGGAUUUUCGCUCCUCCCUGGGUGUCUAGGUCCUCAUUGAAAGAAAAAAAAAAAAAAAACCCGCAGACACUAGGUCCUGCAUGGAAUGAGUUCGACACCCCUGAUUUAUAGAAACUGUGACAGCCGUCCAACUCUGCAUACAGAAUGCAUUUUCACAAUAAUUUAAAAACCUGUUAGCCUAUACAGCUGGAUACUAUGUUUACCUCUAUGUAUAACAUGUUUUUGUGUGUAAACCCCUGUUCAUAUGUGAACUGCAAUAAAAAAUAAACACUGAGAUUGUAGUGAUGUUUUCGGUUACUGCUGGUUGUGGAAUGUCUUUCCCUUGGAGUACAGUCCAUUCUGAGCAGAAGAGCCUCAACUGUCACAUAUGGCUUUGAAAAAAGUGAAGCACUUUUUAUUUAUUUAAAUUUUCAUAAUUAAAAAGGUCUGAUCCUAAAAAAGUGUAUUUUUAUUUAAAAAUCUAGAACAGAUCUAUCUUGUAAAGUUUUGUAUAAUGUAAAAUUAACACCACGUUAAAAAUUCACAUUGACUUCAAAAGUGUUAGGUAAUAGAAAAAGACCCACUAGUGUUAUAGAAAAAAGACAAUAAGUCCUAAGAACUAGAUUGCAACCACUUGUUUUCGUGUACAUCGAAACAAACCGUUAUUUGGUUUCCUCAGAGAAGAUUUGCAUUGCAGCAUUCCCUACAGUCCAUCACCUUAUCACCAUUAUCUCAUCCAGCAGGCCCCUUAUUACCACAAUGUACAGAAAACUUCUACAAUGGAAAAAUGUCAAACAAAAACACACUCAUCUGAAUUCACAGAAACAUUACAUCGUUGGAGGAACACAAACUAAGCACACGACUGAGUUUCCUUGAAAAAAAUGAAAUCAUUUUUUUUCCCUUCACCGUACAGCCUUAAGUUCAAAGCAUGAGCUAGCAUCAUCCUUGUAGUAAAAACAAACCAUGACAACAUCAUUAACGACAACAUCAAAAUUAAAUACUAGCACAAGUCGAGUUAGAUGUCGCUAGGACAGAGUGAGCAGGUUACACUCAAGUUCCCUUCUAGAUGCACAACAGUGUUUCUCUUUGAACAGUUGGUUUGGGGGGGUCACGCACUGAAACACAUGCAGAGGGACAAAAAGAGGUGGUCCGGGUGUCUGCUAAAUCAGCAACAAUUACAGACAUUCAAAAACCUUUGUUCCAAAUGAAGCACUUACCCUGGGCUUGAGCCAGUUAAUAUACAAGUGAAAGUGGAACUGUACAUUUAGAGAGAAAGGGAACAAACGUUUAUGAACAUUACUGCCGCAGACUUUAAAUAUAUAUAUAUAUAUAUAUAUUUUUUUACAGUUUACGUGUACUGACUGAUGAAUUUCGAAUAAUCAUGUUCCUGUUGGACCACGUGUGUGCGUGUGGAGAGCAGAUCUAUUGGAGGACCUGGGACACUGCACAGCAGCCUGUUUUAUCAGGAGACUGGGUUGGGUCAGACCAUUAACCCAUAACAGCUACGCCCACACUGAGCUGCACCUAAGAGUUACUACCAGACUCUGAGACAUGCCCUUCCUUCGUCUCCAGGUAAAAAUCAGUUUUUCCCAGAACAAAUGGCAUAUGCCAACAUUUCUCCCAUUUGGAGAGUUUACAUCCAACCCAAAUACAGUAAAAA